UACGGGGGGGGCAAGCGUUGUUCGGAAUUACUGGGCGUAAAGGGCUCGUAGGUGGCCAACUAAGUCGGACGUGAAAUCCCUCGGCUUAACCGGGGAACUGCAUCCGAUACUGGAUGGCUUGAGUUCGGGAGAGGGAUGCGGAAUUCCAGGUGUAGCGGUGAAAUGCGUAGAUAUCUGGAGGAACACCGGUGGCGAAGGCGGCGAUCCUGGACCGACACUGACGCUGAGGAGCGAAAGCCAGGGGAGCAAACGGGG
RNAcentral lists this ribosomal RNA (255 nucleotides) under uncultured bacterium. Its description in RNAcentral is "partial 16S ribosomal RNA". It matches the Rfam family "Bacterial small subunit ribosomal RNA", at positions 524 to 777 of the family's 1533-position model. The record is from RNAcentral.